Molecule: ribosomal RNA, 194 nt
Filed under: uncultured bacterium
Lineage: Bacteria
Description: partial 16S ribosomal RNA
Rfam family: Bacterial small subunit ribosomal RNA
Source: RNAcentral
ACUAGAGUCUUGUAGAGGGGGGUAGAAUUUCAGGUGUAGCGGUGAAAUGCGUAGAGAUCUGAAGGAAAACCGGUGGCGAAGGCGGCCCCCUGGACAAAGACUGACGCUCAGAUGCGAAAGCGUGGGGAGCAAACAGGAUUAGAUACCCUGGUAGUCCACGCCGUAAACGAUGUCUACUCGGAAUUUGGUACCUU